AUUGCCCUAGUAACGGCGAGUGAAGCGGCAACAGCUCAAAUUUGAAAUCUGGCCCUAGCGGUCCGAGUUGUAAUUUGUAGAGGAUGCUUUUGGUGAGGCGCCUUCCGAGUUCCCUGGAACGGGACGCCGGAGAGGGUGAGAGCCCCGUACGGUUGGACGCCAAACCUCUGUAUAGCUCCUUCGACGAGUCGAGUAGUUUGGGAAUGCUGCUCUAAAUGGGAGGUAAAUUUCUUCUAAAGCUAAAUACCGGCCAGAGACCGAUAGCGCACAAGUAGAGUGAUCGAAAGAUGAAAAGCACUUUGAAAAGAGGGUUAAAUAGCACGUGAAAUUGUUGAAAGGGAAGCGUUUGCGACCAGACUUUUUCCAGGCGGAUCAUCCGGCGUUCUCGCCGGUGCACUCCGCCUGGUUGAGGCCAGCAUCGGUUUCCUUAGGGGGAUAAAGGCCUGGGGAACGUAGCUCCUUCGGGAGUGUUAUAGCCCCUGGCGUAAUACCCCUCGGGGGACCGAGGAACGCGCUCUGCAAGGAUGCUGGCGUAAUGGUCGUCAACGACCCGUCUUGAAACACGGACCAAGGAGUCGAACAUUUGUGCGAGUGUUUGGGUGUCAAACCCUCACGCGUAAUGAAAGUGAACGGAGGUGAGAGCCCUUACGGGUGCAUCAUCGACCGAUCCUGAUGUCUUCGGAUGGAUUUGAGUAAGAGCAUAACUGUUCGGACCCGAAAGAUGGUGAACUAUGCGUGGAUAGGGUGAAGCCAGAGGAAACUCUGGUGGAGGCUCGCAGCGGUUCUGACGUGCAAAUCGAUCGUCAAAUCUGCGCAUGGGGGCGAAAGACUUAUCGAACCAUCUAGUAGCUGGUUACCGCCGAAGUUUCCCUCAGGAUAGCAGUGUUGUCUUCAGUUUUAUGAGGUAAAGCGAAUGAUUAGGGACUCGGGGGCGCUAUAUUGCCUUCAUCCAUUCUCAAACUUUAAAUAUGUAAGAAGCCCUUGUUACUUAGUUGAACGUGGGCAUUCGAAUGUACCAACACUAGUGGGCCAUUUUUGGUAAGCAGAACUGGCGAUGCGGGAUGAACCGAACGCGGGGUUAAGGUGCCAGAGUGGACGCUCAUCAGACACCACAAAAGGUGUUAGUACAUCUUGACAGCAGGACGGUGGCCAUGGAAGUCGGAAUCCGCUAAGGACUGUGUAACAACUCACCUGCCGAAUGUACUAGCCCUGAAAAUGGAUGGCGCUCAAGCGUCUCACCCAUACCUCGCCCUUAGGGUAGAAACGAUGCCCUAAGGAGUAGGCGGCCGUGGGAGGUUAGUGACGAAGCCUA
This 1312-nucleotide ribosomal RNA is filed under the name Daldinia placentiformis. RNAcentral's name for it is "LSU rRNA". It matches the Rfam family "Eukaryotic large subunit ribosomal RNA", at positions 74 to 1412 of the family's 3401-position model. Lineage: Eukaryota; Fungi; Ascomycota; Sordariomycetes; Xylariales; Hypoxylaceae. The record is from RNAcentral.